This 439-nucleotide ribosomal RNA is filed under the name uncultured bacterium. RNAcentral describes it as "partial 16S ribosomal RNA". It matches the Rfam family "Bacterial small subunit ribosomal RNA", at positions 338 to 794 of the family's 1533-position model. The record is from RNAcentral.
CCUACGGGAGGCAGCAGUGGGGAAUAUUGCACAAUGGGGGAAACCCUGAUGCAGCGACGCCGCGUGAGUGAAGAAGUAAUUCGUUACGUAAAGCUCUAUCAGUAGGGAAGAAAAUGACGGUACCUGAGUAAGAAUCCCCGGCUAACUACGUGCCAGCAGCCGCGGUAAUACGUAGGGGGAAAGCGUUAUCCGGAUUUACUGGGUGUAAAGGGAGCGUAGACGGUGCGCCAAGUCUGGAGUGAAACGCCGCAGCUUAACUGCGGAGCUGAUUUGAAAACUGGCGAACUAGGGGGCGGGAGGGGUAAGCGGAAUUCAUAGUGUAGCGGUGAAAUGCGUAGAUAUUAGGAGGAACACAGGUGGCGAGGGCGGCUUACUGGACCGUAACGGACGUUGAGGCUCGAAAGCGUGGGGAGAAACCAGGAUUAGAUACCCUUGUAUC